Molecule: ribosomal RNA, 623 nt
Filed under: Tetragnatha extensa
Lineage: Eukaryota; Metazoa; Arthropoda; Arachnida; Araneae; Tetragnathidae
Description: bacterial SSU rRNA
Rfam family: Eukaryotic small subunit ribosomal RNA
Source: RNAcentral
AGCUGAAACUUAAAGGAAUUGACGGAAGCGCACACAAGAAAUGGGGCCUGCGGCUUAAUUUGACUCAACACGGUGCAACUCACCCGGCCCGGACACAGGAAGGAUUGACAGAUUAAGAGCUCUUUCUUGAUUCUGUGACAGGUGGUGCAUGGCCGUUUCUAGUUGGUGGAGUGAUUUGUCUGCUUUAUUGCGAUAACGAGCGAGACUCUAGCCUACUAAAUAGACUAUGUAUCCUCUUGAGUACMUAGGUCUUCUUAGAGGGACAAGCGGUGUUCAGCCGCACGAAACUGAGCAAAAACAGGUCAGGAUGCCCUUAGAUGUUCGGGGCCGCACGCGCGCCACAUUGAAGGAAUCAGCGUGUGCUUUCCCUCUCCGAUAGGAGUGGGUAACCCGUUGAAACUCCUUCGUGCUAGGGAUAGGAAAUUGUAAUUGUUUUCCUUGAACGAGGAAUUCCCAGUAAGCAUUGAGUCAUCAGCUCGUGUUGAUUACGUCCCUGCGCUUUGUGCACACCGCCCGUCGCUAUUAUCGAUGAAUUUUGGAGUGAGAUCAUCGGACCGACUAUGAUCUCUGUGGUUUUGCUAUGGAGUCUGUGUUGGAAAGAUGACCGAACUUGAAUAUUAGAG